UGGGGAAUUUUGGACAAUGGGCGAAAGCCUGGUCCAGCAAUGCCGCGUGUGUGAAGAAGGCAUUCGGGUUGUAAAGCACUUUUGUCCGGAAAGAAAUCCUUGGCUCUAAUACAGUCGGGGGAUGACGGUACCGGAAGAAUAAGCACCGGCUAACUACGUGCCAGCAGCCGCGGUAAUACGUAGGGUGCAAGCGUUAAUCGGAAUUACUGGGCGUAAAGCGUGCGCAGGCGGUUUGCUAAGACCGAUGUGAAAUCCCCGGGCUCAACCUGGGAACUGCAUUGGUGACUGGCAGGCUAGAGUAUGGCAGAGGGGGGUAGAAUUCCACGUGUAGCAGUGAAAUGCGUAGAGAUGUGGAGGAAUACCGAUGGCGAAGGCAGCCCCCUGGGCCAAUACUGACGCUCAUGCACGAAAGCGUGGGGAGCAAACAGGAUUAGAUACCCUGGUAGUCCACGCCCUAAACGAUGUCAACUAGUUGUUGGGGGAUUCAUUUCCUUAGUAACGUAGCUAACGCGUGAAGUUGACCGCCUGGGGAGUACGGUCGCAAGAUUAAAACUCAAAGGAAUUGACGGGGUCAUAGCUG
RNAcentral lists this ribosomal RNA (580 nucleotides) under uncultured bacterium. RNAcentral describes it as "partial 16S ribosomal RNA". It matches the Rfam family "Bacterial small subunit ribosomal RNA", at positions 355 to 932 of the family's 1533-position model. The record is from RNAcentral.